CGCCUUUCGAUAAAUUAAUAUGAAAGGUCCUGCCUGCCCAGUGAUACAUAAACGGCCGCGGUAUUAUGACCGUGCAAAGGUAGCAUAAUCACUUGUCUUUUAAAUUAGGACUAGCAUGAAUGGCAAAACGAAAGCCUAACUGUCUCCUUGAACUAGUCAAUGAAAUUGAUCUUCUCGUGCAGAAGCGAGAAUACAAUUAUAAGACGAGAAGACCCUGUGGAGCUUAAAAAUAAAAUUAUAUAGAUACCUAUAAUAAUAUUAAAUUUAGGUUGGGGCGACCAUGAGGCAAAAUAUAACCCUCAAGAAAACAAUUAGAAGGACACUUCAAAUAAAAUAAAACUUAUACAUUGACCCAAUAAUGAUCAACGAACCAAGUUACCCCAGGGAUAACAGCGCAAUCCAUUCCCAAAGCCCAUAUAGACGAAUGGGUUUACGACCUCGAUGUUGGAUCAGGACCCCCAAAUGGUGCAACAACUAUUAAAGGUUCGUUUGUUCAACGAUUAAAGUCCU
Molecule: ribosomal RNA, 510 nt
Filed under: Chiropterotriton cf. arboreus IBH CNAR 30092
Lineage: Eukaryota; Metazoa; Chordata; Amphibia; Caudata; Plethodontidae
Description: partial large subunit ribosomal RNA
Rfam family: Bacterial large subunit ribosomal RNA
Source: RNAcentral